GUGCAUAGCUCAAUUGGCAGAGCAUCGGACUCUUAAUCCGCAGGUUGUAGGUUCGAUUCCUACUGCACC
Molecule: transfer RNA, 69 nt
Filed under: pig gut metagenome
Rfam family: tRNA
About the family: Transfer RNA (tRNA) molecules are approximately 80 nucleotides in length. Their secondary structure includes four short double-helical elements and three loops (D, anti-codon, and T loops).
Source: RNAcentral